AAUAGAUACCCUGGUAGUCCAUGCCGUAAACGUUGGGCACUAGGUGUGGGGCCAGUUCCACUGGUUCUGUGCCGUAGCUAACGCAUUAAGUGCCCCGCCUGGGGAGUACGGCCGCAAGGCUAAAACUCAAAGGAAUUGACGGGGGCCCGCACAAGCGGCGGAGCAUGCGGAUUAAUUCGAUGCAACGCGAAGAACCUUACCAAGGCUUGACAUGUACGAGAAAGCCCCAGAGAUGGGGUUCUCUUUGGACACUCGUACACAGGUGGUGCAUGGUUGUCGUCAGCUCGUGUCGUGAGAUGUUGGGUUAAGUCCCGCAACGAGCGCAACCCUUGUCUCAUGUUGCCAGCGGGUUAUGCCGGGGACUCAUGGGAGACUGCCGGGGUCAACUCGGAGGAAGGUGGGGAUGACGUCAAAUCAUCAUGCCCCUUAUGUCUUGGGCUUCACGCAUGCUACAAUGGCCGGUACAGAGGGCUGCGAUACCGUGAGGUGGAGCGAAUCCCAAAAGCCGGUCUCAGUUCGGAUCGGGGU
Molecule: ribosomal RNA, 528 nt
Filed under: uncultured bacterium
Lineage: Bacteria
Description: bacterial SSU rRNA
Rfam family: Bacterial small subunit ribosomal RNA
Source: RNAcentral